This 1149-nucleotide long non-coding RNA is filed under the name Anas platyrhynchos platyrhynchos (common mallard). RNAcentral describes it as "lncRNA (ENSAPLG00000016638.1)". The record is from RNAcentral. Lineage: Eukaryota; Metazoa; Chordata; Aves; Anseriformes; Anatidae.
GGGGGCAUAUGGGGACACGGGGACACAGGGGACAUGGGGGGACAGAGGGGACAGAGGGAGAGGGAGAAAUAUAAGGGGACACGGAAUAUGGGGACACGUGGGGACACAGGGGGACAUGGGGGGACACGGGGGGUAUAAAGGGACAUGGGGGGCAUGGGGGACAUGGGGACACAAAGGGACAGGGAGAAACAUCAGGGGACAUGGAAUAAGGGGAUAUGUGGGGACACGGGGACACAGGGACAUGGGGGGACAUGUGGGAACACAGGGGGUAUAAGGGGACAUGGGGGGACACGGGGGACAUGGGAUAUGGGGACACGGGGGGACACGGGGACAUGGGGGGGCAUGUGGGGGCACAGGGGGACAAGGAGAAAUGUAAGGGGACGUGGGAUAUGGGGACAUAUGGGGACACGGGGGGAUGGGGGGACACACGCGGACAUGGGGGGAUUAGCAGGGACAUGGGGGGAUGUACAGGGAUAUGGGGACACGUUUCAGAGUUUGGGUUUUGGGGGUACAGAUCUCGGGGUUUGGGUUUUGGGGGUAUAGGUUUCAGGGUCAGGUUUUAGGGUUUGGGUUUUGGGGUUUGAGGUUCUGGGGUAUAGGUUUCGGGGUUUGGGUUUUGGGGUCUGGUUUUGGGGUCAGUUUUGGGGUCAGGUUUUGGGGUCAGGAUUUGGGGUCAGGGAGGUAUUUGGGGUCCUCACGCGCAGUGCGGGGUCGAGGUAGAGGCGGCUGUAGAAGAGCUGAUCAUCGUCGUCGUCCCGAUAGCGCCAGCGCUCCACCAGGCGCCAUAGGGUGGGGGCAAACCCCACAAACCCUUUUAUUUUUUUGGGGGGGCAGAUUUAGGGUGAGGGGGGACACCCCUCCCCCAAGGCAACCCCGAAGUCCCCCCCCUCUAAGCAGCAUGACCCCAAAGAAAUCCCCCCUAUAACUCCCCCGAAUCCCCUAUAACCCCCCAAUCCCCUUAUAACUCCCCCAAACCCACCCAUAACCCCCCCAAAUUUCCCCAUAACCCCCCAAUAACCCCCCCAAUUUCCCCCUUAACCCCUCAGUAACCCCCCCAAAUUCCCCUAUAACCCCCCCAUACCCCUCUAUAACUCCCCAAAAUUUCACUAUAACCCCCUAUAACCCCCCCCAAAUUCCCUUAUAACUCCC